CCAAAAAUCACGCGUUUUCUCUUUGAGAAUCCCCCAUUUAAGCAAAAAUCACACGCUUCCUCUUUGCAAAUCCUUCAUUUAAGAGAAAAUCAUGCUUUUUCUCUUUGAUAAUCACCCAUUUAACUUGAAAAUCACGCGUUUUCUCUUCGGAAACCCCCCAUUUAACCCAAAAAACACGCAUUUUCUCUUCGAGAAUCCCCCAUUUAGACCAAAAAUCACGCAUAUUCUGUUUGAGAAUCCCCCAUUUAAGAGAAAAUCAUGCGUUUUUUUCUUUGAGAAUCCCCCACUUAAGCUGAAAAUCACGCGGUUUCUCUUCGGAAAUCCCCCAUUUAAGCGAAAAUCCCGCGCUUCCUCUUCGCAAAUCCUUCAUUCAAGCGAAAAUCAGGUGGUUUCUCUUCGACAAUCCCCCAUUAAACCCAAAAAUCACGCGUUUUCUCAUCAAGAAUCUCCCAUUUAAGAGAAAAUCAUGCUUUUUCUCUUUGAUAAUCACCCAUUUAAGAGAAAAUCACGCGGUUUCUACUUGGAAAUCCGCCAUUUAAGAAAAAAUCACGCGUUUUUUUCUUCGGAAAUUCCCCAUUUAAGCAAAAAUCACGCGUUUUCUCUUCGACAAUCCCCCAUUUAACCAAAAAAUCACGCAUUUUCUCUUCACAAAUCCCCCAUUUAAACCGAAAAUCACGCGUUUUCUCUUCGAGAAUCCCCCAUUUUAGUGAAAAUCACGCGUUUUCUCUUCAAGAAUCCCCCAUUUAACCCGAAAAUCACGCGCUUUCUCUUCAAGAAUCCCCCAUUAAACAAAAAAUCACGCGUUUUCUCUUCGAGAAUCCCGUUUAUCUCAAAAAUGACGCAUUUUUUUCUUCUAAAAUCCCC
This 864-nucleotide long non-coding RNA is filed under the name Gallus gallus (chicken). RNAcentral's name for it is "lncRNA (ENSGALG00010001439.1)". Lineage: Eukaryota; Metazoa; Chordata; Aves; Galliformes; Phasianidae. The record is from RNAcentral.